This 69-nucleotide transfer RNA is filed under the name Allobates flaviventris. RNAcentral describes it as "tRNA-Ala". It matches the Rfam family "tRNA". Rfam says of the family: Transfer RNA (tRNA) molecules are approximately 80 nucleotides in length. Their secondary structure includes four short double-helical elements and three loops (D, anti-codon, and T loops). Lineage: Eukaryota; Metazoa; Chordata; Amphibia; Anura; Aromobatidae. The record is from RNAcentral.
AAGGCUUUAUCUUAAUAAAAGAGUUUGAUUUGCACUCAAAAUAUGAGGGUUAGUUACUUUCAGGUCUUA